This 558-nucleotide ribosomal RNA is filed under the name uncultured Glomus. Its description in RNAcentral is "SSU rRNA". It matches the Rfam family "Eukaryotic small subunit ribosomal RNA", at positions 550 to 1114 of the family's 1831-position model. Lineage: Eukaryota; Fungi; Glomeromycota; Glomeromycetes; Glomerales; Glomeraceae. The record is from RNAcentral.
UUGGAGGGCAAGUCUGGUGCCAGCAGCCGCGGUAAUUCCAGCUCCAAUAGCGUAUAUUAAAGUUGUUGCAGUUAAAAAGCUCGUAGUUGAAUUUUCGGGAUCAAAUGUUUCGGUCAUGCCCGUUGGUAUGUACUGAUAUUAUUGGUUUCUCACCUUCUAAAGAACCGUAAUGCCAUUAAUUUGGUGUCACGGGGAAUUAGGACUGUUACCUUGAAAAAAUUAGAGUGUUUAAAGCAGGCUCACGCUUGAAUACAUUAGCAUGGAAUAAUGAAAUAGGACAUCCGAUUCUAUUUUGUUGGUUUCUAGGAUCGAUGUAAUGAUUAAUAGGGAUAGUUGGGGGCAUUAGUAUUCAAUUGUCAGAGGUGAAAUUCUUGGAUUUAUUGAAGACUAACUACUGCGAAAGCAUUUGCCAAGGAUGUUUUCAUUAAUCAAGAACGAAAGUUAGGGGAUCGAAGACGAUCAGAUACCGUCGUAGWCUUAACCAUAAACUAUGCCGACUAGGGAUCGGAUGAUGUUAAUUUUUUAAUGACUCAUUCGGCACCUUACGGGAAACCAAAG